AACGAACGCUGGCGGCGCGCCUAAUACAUGCAAGUCGAACGAGGUAGCAAUACCUAGUGGCGAACGGCGGAGUAAUACAUGAACAACGUGCCCUAAAGUCCGGGACAAACGCAGAAAUGUCAUAAAUACCGGAUGUGGCCCUUCUUUGGCAUCUGAGAAGGAUUAAAGGUUUUUCGCUUUGGGAGCGGUUCAUGACACAUCAGGUAGUUGGUGGGGUAACGGCCUACCAAGCCGACGACGGUUAGCUGGUCUGAGAGGAUGAUCAGCAACACUGGGACUGAGACACGGCCCAGACUCCUACGGGAGGCAGCAGUGGGGAAUCUUAGACAAUGGGGGAAACCCGUGAUCUAGCCAUGCCGCGUGAGCGAUGAAGGCCUUAGGGUUGUAAAGCUCUUUCAGAUGGGAAGAUAAUGACGGUACCAUCAGAAGAAGCCCCGGCUAACUCCGUG
This 449-nucleotide ribosomal RNA is filed under the name uncultured bacterium. RNAcentral describes it as "bacterial SSU rRNA". It matches the Rfam family "Bacterial small subunit ribosomal RNA", at positions 29 to 507 of the family's 1533-position model. The record is from RNAcentral.